UACGUAGGGGGCAAGCGUUGUCCGGAAUCAUUGGGCGUAAAGCGCGUGUAGGCGGCUCGGUAAGUCUGCUCUGAAAGCCCGGGGCUCAACCCCGGGAGGCGGGUGGAUACUGUCAAGCUCGAGUCCGGUAGGGGAGUGUGGAAUUCCCGGUGUAGCGGUGAAAUGCGCAGAUAUCGGGAGGAACACCAGUAGCGAAGGCGGCACUCUGGGCCGGUACUGACGCUGAGGAGCGAAAGCGUGGGGAGCGAACAGG
Molecule: ribosomal RNA, 253 nt
Filed under: uncultured bacterium
Lineage: Bacteria
Description: partial 16S ribosomal RNA
Rfam family: Bacterial small subunit ribosomal RNA
Source: RNAcentral